Molecule: unclassified non-coding RNA, 210 nt
Filed under: Hevea brasiliensis (rubber tree)
Lineage: Eukaryota; Viridiplantae; Streptophyta; Magnoliopsida; Malpighiales; Euphorbiaceae
Source: RNAcentral
AGCGUAGCUAGGAGGGGCAACGCUUUGAGGUCUAGUCAUCGGACCACGGGUGUCUGAGUUGUAAUCAAUUGCAUGGCCACACAACUGCUUAUCAGAAUCAGUUUCAUAUUCCUGUAGAUUAUAAGUCCUAGACGACGUUGACUGUCCAGACUGCAUUGCCCUAUUCACAUACCGCGUGAAGGCUGAAGUAUCAGAAUGGUUCAAUCUGCG